AUAAAUAACCUUUCGCAAAAUAUCAUCCUGUGCACACCCGAUGUAUGCACCGAUAAUAUCCCACCAGGGUCUGAACUGCUCGUGAUAUCAAUGUUCCGCUAAGUGGCGCCAUACCACCCGCUUCCCAUGAAUCACUCUAUUCCUAAUCAUCCUAGAUUUUCACUCAUGGUCUGGGUAUUGGACCUUUUACCUCAACUGACUCCCCCCCCACACAGAGAAAAACAGACAGCCAGCCAGUAAUGAAUAAUGAAUAUGAAUGCAAACACCAAUGCACACAAUCAAUGCAAACAAUAAAUGUACAUAUAUAUA
RNAcentral lists this long non-coding RNA (309 nucleotides) under Lathyrus oleraceus (garden pea). RNAcentral describes it as "Pisum sativum (pea) long non-coding RNA (PSAT_LNC004710)". Lineage: Eukaryota; Viridiplantae; Streptophyta; Magnoliopsida; Fabales; Fabaceae. The record is from RNAcentral.